GUCCACGCCGUAAACGAUGUCGACUAGCCGUUGGGAUCCUUGAGAUCUUAGUGGCGCAACUAACGCAUUAAGUCGACCGCCUGGGGAGUACGGCCGCAAGGUUAAAACUCAAAUGAAUUGACGGGGGCCCGCACAAGCGGUGGAGCAUGUGGUUUAAUUCGAAGCAACGCGAAGAACCUUACCUGGCCUUGACAUGCUGAGAACUUUCCAGAGAUGGAUUGGUGCCUUCGGGAACUCAGACACAGGUGCUGCAUGGCUGUCGU
This 263-nucleotide ribosomal RNA is filed under the name uncultured bacterium. RNAcentral's name for it is "partial 16S ribosomal RNA". It matches the Rfam family "Bacterial small subunit ribosomal RNA", at positions 793 to 1055 of the family's 1533-position model. The record is from RNAcentral.